RNAcentral lists this ribosomal RNA (496 nucleotides) under uncultured bacterium. RNAcentral's name for it is "partial 16S ribosomal RNA". It matches the Rfam family "Bacterial small subunit ribosomal RNA", at positions 29 to 507 of the family's 1533-position model. The record is from RNAcentral.
AUGAACGCUGGCGGCGUGCCUAAUACAUGCAAGUCGAGCGCACGGACGAGAAGCUUGCUUCUCUGAUGUUAGCGGCGGACGGGUGAGUAACACGUGGAUAACCUACCUAUAAGACUGGGAUAACUUCGGGAAACCGGAGUUAAUACCGGAUAAUAUUUUGAACCGCAUGGUUCAAAAGUGAAAGACGGUCUUGCUGUCACUUAUAGAUGGAUCUGCGCUGCAUUAGCUAGUUGGUAAGGUAACGGCUUACCAAGGCAACGAUGCAUAGCCGACCUGAGAGGAUGAUCAGCCACACUGGAACUGAGACACGGUCCAGACUCCUACGGGAGGCAGCAGUAGGGAAUCUUGCACAAUGGGCGAAAGCCUGACGGAGCAACGCCGCGUGAGUGAUGAAGGUCUUCGGAUCGUAAAACUCUGUUAUUAGGGAAGAACAUAUGUGUAAGUAACUGUGCACAUCUUGACGGUACCUAAUCAGAAAGCCACGGCUAACUACGUG